Molecule: non-coding RNA, 1753 nt
Organism: Paramuricea clavata
Lineage: Eukaryota; Metazoa; Cnidaria; Anthozoa; Malacalcyonacea; Plexauridae
Source: the annotation of a GenBank genome assembly
AUUUCAUUUUGCUUUAUAAACUUACAAAAUGCAUGGUUGAAAUUUUAAUACAGUUGCAUGAGAGUUUAGGGUUCGCGCGUGGUUUGAAUUCGCCUCAACGUCUUCUUGAAUGAGUUCAACAAAGGAUCAGAUUGGUGAGAGGGUUGGCCGCGCGCGCUGCAUGUUUCAGUUGUAAAUGGUUGAAAUUUUAAUACAGUAGCAUGCGUGAGAGUUUCGGCUAGGUGCGCGCGUGGUUUGAAUUCGCCUCAACGUCUUGUUGAAUUAGUUCGACAAAGGAUCAGAUUGGUGAGAGGGUUGGCUGCGCGCGCUGCAUGUUUCAGUUGUAAAUGUUUGAAAUUUUAAUACAGUAUAGCAUGCACGAUAGUUUCGGCUAGGUGCGCGCGUGGUUUGAAUUCGCCUCAACGUCUUGUUGAAUUAGUUCGACAAAGGAUCAGAUUGGUGAGAGGAUUGGCCGUGCGCGUUGCAUGUUUUUAAUACAGUAGCAUGAAUGAUUGUUUCGGCUGCGUACGCAAGUUUAUUAUUUUUGCCGUAUGAAUUUUAUAAUGGUUGAAAUUUAAAAUACAGUUGGAUGAGAGGUUUCGAUAUCAUGGUUUUUCCUUGACUAUGUUUUUUUUUUUUUUUAUACUGAUGUGUGGCCGAAAUUAACACGCUGAAAUAUCUGACGGUAAGUUUAAUCUUUAUUUCUCACAUUGUCAGUUUGCAAUUACAGAGAUAGGUCAACUUUGAAAUCGUUCUAAUUUUAGCACAGUUGCAUGUACGAGAGUUUCAGCUGAGGACGUAAUUUCAUUUUGCCUUAUAAACUUUAUAAUGGUUGAAAUUUUAAUACAGUUGCAUGAGAGUUUCGGCUAGGUGCGCGCGUGGUUUGAAUUCGCCUCAACGUCUUGUUGAAUUAAUAGUUCGACAAAGGAUCAGAUUGGUGAGAGGGUUGGCUGCGCGCGCUGCAUGUUUCAGUUGUAAAUGGUUGAAAUUUUAAUACAGGAUAGCAUGCACGAUAGUUUCGGCUAGGUGCGCGCGUGGUUUGAAUUCGCCUCAACGUCUUGUUGAAUUAGUUCGACAAAGGAUCAGAUUGGUGAGUGGGUUGGCCGCGCGCGCUGCAUGUUUCAGUUGUAAAUGCCCCCUGACCUAUAUAUGUGCCUAACCCACCCUGUCAGCUUUCCCUGUGGGAGGAAUCCGGAAUGCCGGGAGAAAGUCCACGACUUUCGGCAGAGCGUUGACUUUUGACUAAUCUUUUGCGUGAGGCUUGGGUCUAGUCGCAUUGAGAAAGUUCUCACUGAGGUUUGAACCUGCGAGCUCAGAGGUGAAAGUCAAGUGCGCUAACCGCUUGGCCACCGAAGCCCCCAGGGUUAAAUUAGUAGAGAGAUAAGUGCAUAAAGUAUUUAGGGUAUUUUGGCGCUAAAUUUGUUUUUAAAUUUGUCAUUUUAUGAACACAACCCGUCCUUUCUGGUCGCCCUGGUUGCUGUGAGGAGAAAUCGGGAAUUGUAAUGAAUGGAUAACAAUUUGUGCAAUGCAACGCAAUGGAAAUUAAUGCAAUGCAACGCAGUACAUGACGGAACAAGAAUCGACUUCUACCAACACUGCCCAUGUGUGUUAGUGAUCGGAUUGGCAGAAAACUGAUCCUGGUUUCAUCAUCGCUUUAUAAAGCAUCGAAUGAGUGCAGACGAGGAUGAUAACCUGUGUCAUCCACCACAAGAAUGACGACUAGUACUCAGGCCUUGAAUAACUCAGAGGUAUAGUCUCGUUUCAAUCCUUUGAA